UUUUAUUCCAGAAGAUUGGUCCUUAAGGGGUUAAGAAGUUAUUGUCUAUCCUGCCCCCUAGUUUGCCUAGGGACAGAAUCAAUGAUUUGCCAUUUUAACAUGGAAAUUGUGUAUUUAUUAUAUGGGUCAGUGCUCUUCUGCAUGUGUUAAUAUUGCCUAUUCUUUUUCUUUCUUUGAAAUAAAAAAGAAAUAAAAAGUGAGAUUUUCU
Molecule: non-coding RNA, 208 nt
Organism: Pelobates cultripes (western spadefoot toad)
Lineage: Eukaryota; Metazoa; Chordata; Amphibia; Anura; Pelobatidae
Source: the annotation of a GenBank genome assembly